GGGCCAGACUCCUACGGGAGGCAGCAGUGGGGAAUAUUGCACAAUGGGGGGAACCCUGAUGCAGCGACGCCGCGUGGGUGAAGGAGCACCUCGGUGCGUAAAGCCCUAUCGGCAGGGAAGAAACAGACGGUACCUGACUAAGAAGCCCCGGCUAACUACGUGCCAGCAGCCGCGGUAAUACGUAUGGGGCAAGCGUUAUCCGGAUUUACUGGGUGUAAAGGGAGCGCAGGCGGCCUGGCAAGCCUGAUGUGAAAUACCGGGGCCCAACCCCGGGGCUGCAUUGGGAACUGCCAGGCUGGAGUGCCGGAGAGGCAGGCGGAAUUCCUAGUGUAGCGGUGAAAUGCGUAGAUAUUAGGAGGAACACCAGUGGCGAAGGCGGCCUGCUGGACGGUGACUGACGCUGAGGCUCGAAAGCGUGGGGAGCAAACAGGAUUAGAUACCCCAGUACGC
This 450-nucleotide ribosomal RNA is filed under the name uncultured bacterium. RNAcentral describes it as "bacterial SSU rRNA". It matches the Rfam family "Bacterial small subunit ribosomal RNA", at positions 328 to 794 of the family's 1533-position model. The record is from RNAcentral.